RNAcentral lists this small nucleolar RNA (177 nucleotides) under Candida tropicalis MYA-3404. RNAcentral's name for it is "Small nucleolar RNA snR8". It matches the Rfam family "Small nucleolar RNA snR8". The record is from Rfam by way of RNAcentral. Lineage: Eukaryota; Fungi; Ascomycota; Pichiomycetes; Serinales; Debaryomycetaceae.
UUCUUCUUUGAUACGAAUGCCUUCUAUUCACUGCACCAUUUAUAUCAAUGAAUGAAGUGGAGGGGAAAAGAAUGCUAGAGUAAGUUAUCGAAGAACUUCCUCAUACUGAGUUUACUUAUUUAUUUUUUUUAAAAAUUAUAAAAUAGCAUUCUUGGAUUCUGGUUGUUCGAUACAUUU